Molecule: ribosomal RNA, 227 nt
Filed under: uncultured bacterium
Lineage: Bacteria
Description: partial 16S ribosomal RNA
Rfam family: Bacterial small subunit ribosomal RNA
Source: RNAcentral
AGUAACGCGUGGGUAACCUGCCUCAUACAGGGGGAUAACAGUUAGAAAUGACUGCUAAUACCGCAUAAGCCCACGGCUCGGCAUCGAGCAGAGGGAAAAGGAGUGAUCCGCUUUGAGAUGGCCUCGCGUCCGAUUAGCUAGUUGGUGAGGUAACGGCCCACCAAGGCAACGAUCGGUAGCCGGACUGAGAGGUUGAACGGCCACAUUGGGACUGAGACACGGCCCAG